RNAcentral lists this long non-coding RNA (212 nucleotides) under Physcomitrium patens. RNAcentral describes it as "long non-coding RNA (PPAT_LNC009195)". Lineage: Eukaryota; Viridiplantae; Streptophyta; Bryopsida; Funariales; Funariaceae. The record is from RNAcentral.
AAGAUUGAAUACAAUUAUAUGAUGGAAAUAUUGACCAAGUGAAAAUUAGAAGAAAUAAAUUUUUUAAAUAACCUAAGAAGAAAUGAUUUCAAAGCAUGGAAAGAUUUUUUUCUCUUUACCAAAUGAGAUUGGAUGUGUUAAUCUAAAGAUUGUAGUAUUAAUAUUUAUUUUUAUUAUUCCACAUAUAUUAUAGGAUUUGAAGCCAAUUUAUG